This 562-nucleotide ribosomal RNA is filed under the name Bacillus tequilensis. Its description in RNAcentral is "bacterial SSU rRNA". It matches the Rfam family "Bacterial small subunit ribosomal RNA", at positions 351 to 903 of the family's 1533-position model. Lineage: Bacteria; Bacillati; Bacillota; Bacilli; Caryophanales; Bacillaceae. The record is from RNAcentral.
GCAGUAGGGAAUCUUCCGCAAUGGACGAAAGUCUGACGGAGCAACGCCGCGUGAGUGAUGAAGGUUUUCGGAUCGUAAAGCUCUGUUGUUAGGGAAGAACAAGUACCGUUCGAAUAGGGCGGUACCUUGACGGUACCUAACCAGAAAGCCACGGCUAACUACGUGCCAGCAGCCGCGGUAAUACGUAGGUGGCAAGCGUUGUCCGGAAUUAUUGGGCGUAAAGGGCUCGCAGGCGGUUUCUUAAGUCUGAUGUGAAAGCCCCCGGCUCAACCGGGGAGGGUCAUUGGAAACUGGGGAACUUGAGUGCAGAAGAGGAGAGUGGAAUUCCACGUGUAGCGGUGAAAUGCGUAGAGAUGUGGAGGAACACCAGUGGCGAAGGCGACUCUCUGGUCUGUAACUGACGCUGAGGAGCGAAAGCGUGGGGAGCGAACAGGAUUAGAUACCCUGGUAGUCCACGCCGUAAACGAUGAGUGCUAAGUGUUAGGGGGUUUCCGCCCCUUAGUGCUGCAGCUAACGCAUUAAGCACUCCGCCUGGGGAGUACGGUCGCAAGACUGAAACUCA